GGUCGACAACGAGUUCCUCAACCGCAAGAGUUCCAAGAAGUGCUGCAUCUUCCACAAGCAGAAGCCCUUCGACGAGGACGAUAGCGACGAGGAGGACUGCGGCGAUAAGCCCGCCGGCGACUCGGCUGGACCAAGCCGUUGCUGCUCCCACGGUCAUGACCACUGAUGACUUCCUUCCUCCUUCAUCAUGAGCUUUACAGAUGGAUGACUUUACAACUGCAUUGAUGAGACACCCCAUUCCGAGCUACAAUCUAUCGUUGGUGAAAUAUGUUUUUUUUUUUUUUUGUGUGGAAGAAUCAACACAGUGUUCUAAAUAUAUACUUCAAACCUCGAAUUAUUUGUUUUGCAGUACAUGCUAAGUUGAAAUGGCACCAUUAGUUAAGCAUCCCUUUUAAAGUGUGAA
This is a long non-coding RNA of Musa acuminata AAA Group (dessert banana), 403 nucleotides long. RefSeq lists it as uncharacterized. NCBI's taxonomy places the organism in Eukaryota, Viridiplantae, Streptophyta, Magnoliopsida, Zingiberales, Musaceae. The transcript is spliced from 2 exons. The record is from RefSeq and is a predicted model, not a curated record.